AGAGUUUGAUCCUGGCUCAGAUUGAACGCUGGCGGCAUGGCUAAAACAUGCAAGUCGAACGCGAAAGGUAGCAAUACCAAGUAGAGUGGCGAAAGGGCGAGUAAUGCAUUCCUACGUGCCCCAAGGUCGGGAAUAGCUCGGGGAAACCCGAAUUAAAACCCGAUAAUGUCUACGGACCAAAGGCUUGCUGCCUUGGGAGCGGGGAAUGUCCUAUCAGGUUGUUGGUGAGGUAACGGCUCACCAAGCCUAAGACGGGUAGCGGGUGUGAGAGCACGGCCCGCCGCAUCGGGACUGAGACACUGCCCGGACUCCUACGGGAGGCUGCAGUAACGAAUCUUCCGCAAUGCGCGAAAGCGUGACGGAGCAAUGCCGCGUGCAGGAUGAAGCCCUUCGGGGUGUAAACUGCUGUCAGGGUGUAGCAACACAAUGAGCAGACCCAAAGGAAGAGAUGGCUAACUCUGUGCCAGCAGCCGCGGUAAUACAGAGAUCUCGAGCGUUAAUCGGAGUCACUGGGCUUAAAGCGUACGUAGACGGACUUGCAAGCAUCUUGUGAAAUCCCUCGGCUCAACCGAGGAACUGCUUGGUGAACUGCGAGUCUUGAGGCAAGUAGAGGCUGUCGGAACGAUAGGUGGAGCGGUGAAAUGCGUUGAUAUCUAUCGGAACGCCGAAGGUGAAAACAGGCAGCUGGGCUUGUUCUGACGCUGAGGUACGAAAGCGUGGGGAUCAAACGGGAUUAGAUACCCCGGUAGUCCACGCCGUAAACGGUGUGCACUAGAUCCUGGAGGCUCUGACGUCCUCAGGGUCGAAGCAAAAGUGGUAAGUGCACCGCCUGGGGAGUACGGUCGCAAGGCUAAAACUCAAAGGAAUUGACGGGGGCUCACACAAGCGGUGGAGCAUGUGGCUCAAUUCGAAGCAACGCGAAGAACCUUAUCCUAGGCUUGACAUGCACGUAUUAACCCGCCGAAAGGCGAGCCAGGCCCGCAAGGGUACAACGUGGACAGGUGCUGCAUGGCUGUCGUCAGCUCGUGCUGUGAAGUGUCGGGUUAAGUCCCUUAACGAAGCGGAAACCCCUGUCGUUAGUUGCCACCGCGUCAAGGUGGGGACUCUAGCGAGACUGCCGGUGUCAAAUCGGAGGAAGGUGGGGAUGACGUCAAGUCCGCAUGGCCUUUAUGCCUAGGGCUGCACACGUGCUACAAUGGCGCGCACAGAACGAUGCAAGACCGCAAGGUGGAGCAAAUCGCUCAAAACGCGCCCCAGUUCGGAUUGAGGGCUGCAACCCGCCCUCAUGAAGUCGGAAUCGCUAGUAAUCGCGGAUCAGCUACGCCGCGGUGAAUACGUUCCUGAGCCUUGUACACACCGCCCGUCAAGUCAUGGAAGCCGGUAGCGCCCGAAGCCGCCUCAAUUCAGAGGUGCCCACGGCGAGGCUGGUGACUGGGACUAAGUCGUAACAAGGUAACC
RNAcentral lists this ribosomal RNA (1458 nucleotides) under uncultured bacterium. RNAcentral's name for it is "bacterial SSU rRNA". It matches the Rfam family "Bacterial small subunit ribosomal RNA". The record is from RNAcentral.